GUUGAAAAUUUAAAGUUCAAUUUCCAAAAUUUUUGGAAAUGUAAGUUUGAUUGCAUUAUUAGGAAAUCAAGGUGUAUAGAAUCGGACGUUGAGUCCUUAUGUUGAAAAGCGGACUUGUCCAAGGACUGUGUUUGUGUCUAUCGAAAAAGGUAAUUUGGAAACAGGCCCGCUAUUCAUAUAAGUUAACUUCGAUACAAGUCUUGCAUACUUUAACAUACGUUAAUUUUGAAGGUCUUUCCUCUACGGGAGGAAAGACCUUAUUGUUUUUCUAAUGUUUUAUUUUUUUUCUUCAUUUUUUUUUUGGCAUGCCCUUCCCCCGUUUCUGUAGAAGUUAUUAAGAACAAAUAUGGACCAUUUAUAGACCUCAUCAUAAACUUUUACAAGAUGAACUUUUGUAGGAUUUCAUCAUCCCCUUUAGAAGUUAUCUCCCUUUUAUUGAUUUUUUUCAAGAUAGCCCCCUCGUUGUUUUUAAAGAUAUCAUGACCUUAUUUGAACAAUAGGUAGAUCUCAUCAUGAUG
This 518-nucleotide long non-coding RNA is filed under the name Mytilus galloprovincialis (Mediterranean mussel). Lineage: Eukaryota; Metazoa; Mollusca; Bivalvia; Mytilida; Mytilidae. The record is from RNAcentral.